RNAcentral lists this ribosomal RNA (460 nucleotides) under uncultured bacterium. RNAcentral describes it as "partial 16S ribosomal RNA". It matches the Rfam family "Bacterial small subunit ribosomal RNA", at positions 338 to 795 of the family's 1533-position model. The record is from RNAcentral.
CCUACGGGAGGCAGCAGUGAGGAAUAUUGGUCAAUGGGCGUGAGCCUGAACCAGCCAAGUCGCGUGAAGGAUGACUGCCCUACGGGUUGUAAACCUCUUUUAUAAAGGAAUAAAGUGAGGCACGUGUGCCGUUUUGUAUGUACUUUAUGAAUAAGGAUCGGCUAACUCCGUGCCAGCAGCCGCGGUAAUACGGAGGAUCCGAGCGUUAUCCGGAUUUAUUGGGUUUAAAGGGAGCGUAGAUGGGUUUUUAAGUCAGUUGUGAAAGUUUGCGGCUCAACCGUAAAAUUGCAGUUGAUACUGGCAGUCUUGAGUACGGUUGAGGCAGGCGGAAUUCGUGGUGUAGCGGUGAAAUGCUUAGAUAUCACGAAGAACUCCGAUUGCGAAGGCAGCUUGCUAAGCUACGACUGACGUUGAUGCUCGAAAGUGUGGGGAUCAAACAGGAUUAGAUACCCUUGUAGUC